Molecule: long non-coding RNA, 653 nt
Organism: Phyllostomus hastatus (greater spear-nosed bat)
Lineage: Eukaryota; Metazoa; Chordata; Mammalia; Chiroptera; Phyllostomidae
Exons: 5
Source: RefSeq, a predicted model, not a curated record
GGGAGGGCAGACAAACAGUAAGCACGAUCAGUAGGUAAAUAUUGUGUCAGAAGGCGGUGUGUUCGGAGAAAAUCGGCAGGGUUGAAAAUAUCUGUAUGUAUUAUUUGAGGAUUACAAUCUACAAGCAAUGCAUGGUCAUGUUUGUUUUGGAAGCUGGCACAAACAGAGGACAUUCCAGAGCCAUGACACGUCUCUUAGGAAAGAAGAAUUAUUUUUGCCAGUGGCAUAAAUAAAUCCAAGAACCAGUUCCAAUAAUCACAGUGCAUGCCAGCUCUCGAGUGCUCGCUGACAAACGCAGGAGGGAACCAGAAAACUGCCCAGAAAGGGCACUCGUGGUGGAGGGGCCCGCAGGCAAGUCAGGAUGCCAGGCCCGAGUUCUGCAGGAAGGGACAGCAGGAACGGGUCACCUCAGUCCCUCCUGCUGCAGUCUGAGCUCGUUUCUUCUUAUCUGCGUCCUGCUCACGACCCACCCAAUCACUAGUUCGUGCCAUUCUUCUCUGCCUGGAUGACGCCCAACCAACCGAGCCACAUUGGUCAGGGCUGUGCACCCUACUUUUAGCUGGUGGUAAAUGUUGCUCCAAUGUUGCUUCCCCUCCACAGCCACCCAACUUCCACCCCAAUUAACAUCACACUUUGUAAUGAGGUGCGAAGAC